GAUUUUCGCAAUGCCCGAAAGGGUGACGAAGCGACGCCGCGUGCGGGAAGAAGGCCUUCGGGUUGUAAACCGCUGUCGGGAGUUAAGAAAUGUAAGGAUGUUAAUAGCAUCUUUGCUUGACUAAGGCUCCGGAGGAAGCCACAGCUAACUCUGUGCCAGCAGCCGCGGUAAUACAGAGGCGGCAAGCGUUGUUCGGAAUUAUUGGGCGUAAAGAGCACGUAGGCGGCUAUGUAAGUCGGUUGUGAAAGCCUUCCGCUCAACGGGAGAACAGCAUCCGAUACUGCAUGGCUUGAGUGCGGGAGGGGAGAGUGGAACUUCUGGUGGAGCGGUGAAAUGCGUAGAUAUCAGAAGGAACGCCGGCGGCGAAAGCGGCUCUCUGGCCCAUAACUGACGCUGAGUGUGCGAAAGCUAGGGGAGCAAACGGGAUUAGAUACCCCGGUAGUCCUAGCCGUAAACGAUGGGCACUAAGUAGAGGGGUUUUAAUC
This 485-nucleotide ribosomal RNA is filed under the name uncultured bacterium. Its description in RNAcentral is "bacterial SSU rRNA". It matches the Rfam family "Bacterial small subunit ribosomal RNA", at positions 359 to 836 of the family's 1533-position model. The record is from RNAcentral.